GAAAAAAAUAUUAUAAAUAAUAGGAAAAUAUUGAUUAAUUCUGUUAAAAUAAACUAAAAUUUAUCUUAAAUCAUUCAUUGUUUAUUACAUAUUCAGCAAAAUUUAGGAGAAAGUCACAAAAAAUGAAAUGCUCCCCUGGAAUUAAUUUAAUGUGUGUGACACUUUUAUUGCUUUAUUGAGGCCACUCCUUCCUGGGAAAUUGCAGACAAUACUAUUUUAUUUGUGGCAUGUGGUAUUGAUUGGAUUGCUACAAUAAAUCAUCUGUGAUUCAAUUAAAGCAACAUAAAGUAUAUUAUAGCUGUUUUUUAUGUGUUAGGAUUUUUUGACAUAAAAUUUAUAAAAAGUACUGCACAAGUAUUGGUAAAAAUUGUACAAAUGAAGUAAGAACAAGUUAAUAAAUAUGAAAUACAGGUUGACAUUCAAAAAUCUAGCAACUAAAAAUCCAGUUUCUUCAGUGUUCCAGCAUGAAUUUCAGGAACAUAUUUUCAAAUUUCCCUGCACUGUCGCGCCACUGUUUUCUGGAAGUGCCAUUGAUGUUUUGAUGUACGCCCUGUGUUGCCAGGCUAGCAAAUUUUUUGAGAAAUACUUUAAUAUUGAAAUUUUAAUUUUGUCCAAGAUGCAAAAAAAAUCUAAUUUGACCACUCCUGGGUUUUAAGUAUGUAGCAAUGUAAUAAAUAAAAUGAGUUAAAUGAUAUUAACUCACUUUAUCUGAUAAUUUCAUUUUUUAUUAGUUAUUUUUCCUAGAAAGUAAUUUUUCAAACUUAAUUAAAUAGUAUUUUUAAUUGUUUACUUAAUUAGAAUUUGUAGUAACUUUCUAAAGACUACAAAUAAUCUAAUCUGAUUUAUUUAGCGAUUUUUGCCGCCAGAUGGCGAUUUUUUUGCAAUUGUUUGGUGACAUUGGUGUGAGAUUAUCUGGCAGCCAUGUGUACACUAUUCUCAGUUGUUCGGUGUUGCUUUCCAUGCUAAUAUGUAGCUCUGCUCAUUCCUUUUUUUUUUAAUAUUUAUUUGCUGUUGUUUAGCCCAAUUAUGGAUUCAGCAAAAAAGAAAUGUGGCAUAAAAACGUAAACAUCAUUCAUUAUCAAUCGCAUAUUUUUUUCCUUUAAAAGACUGUAAAUGUGGAACUUUUCUAUUAAAUA
RNAcentral lists this long non-coding RNA (1136 nucleotides) under Androctonus crassicauda. Lineage: Eukaryota; Metazoa; Arthropoda; Arachnida; Scorpiones; Buthidae. The record is from RNAcentral.